RNAcentral lists this ribosomal RNA (497 nucleotides) under uncultured bacterium. Its description in RNAcentral is "partial 16S ribosomal RNA". It matches the Rfam family "Bacterial small subunit ribosomal RNA", at positions 28 to 507 of the family's 1533-position model. The record is from RNAcentral.
GAUGAACGCUGGCGGCGUGCCCAAUACAUGCAAGUCGAGCGAACGGACUAGAAGCUUGCUUCUCUGAUGUUAGCGGCGGACGGGUGAGUAACACGUGGAUAACCUACCUAUAAGACUGGGAUAACUUCGGGAAACCGUAGCUAAUACCGGAUAAUAUUUUGAACCGCAUGGUUCAAAAGUGAAAGACGGUCUUGCUGUCACUUAUAGAUGGAUCCGCGCUGCAUUAGCUAGUUGGUAAGGUAACGGCUUACCAAGGCAACGAUGCAUAGCCGACCUGAGAGGGUGAUCGGCCACACUGGAACUGAGACACGGUCCAGACUCCUACGGGAGGCAGCAGUAGGGAAUCUUCCGCAAUGGGCGAAAGCCUGACGGAGCAACGCCGCGUGAGUGAUGAAGGUCUUCGGAUCGUAAAACUCUGUUAUUAGGGAAGAACAUAUGUGUAAGUAACUGUGCACAUCUUGACGGUACCUAAUCAGAAAGCCACGGCUAACUACGUG